GCUGGUGUAGGUGAUGAUGGAACUUUUUUCCCCGUCAGAGCGACAGUGUUGAUUUCUCACUGCUCUAGCCAGGCCUUGUCUGAUGCACCAGC
Small nucleolar RNA from Anser cygnoides (Swan goose), 92 nucleotides. NCBI's taxonomy places the organism in Eukaryota, Metazoa, Chordata, Aves, Anseriformes, Anatidae. The record is from Ensembl.